This 751-nucleotide ribosomal RNA is filed under the name Morganella morganii subsp. morganii. RNAcentral's name for it is "partial 23S ribosomal RNA". It matches the Rfam family "Bacterial large subunit ribosomal RNA", at positions 2180 to 2925 of the family's 2925-position model. RNAcentral also lists the same sequence under 1 other name. The record is from RNAcentral. Lineage: Bacteria; Pseudomonadati; Pseudomonadota; Gammaproteobacteria; Enterobacterales; Morganellaceae.
ACGGAGCCAUCCUUGAAAUACCACCCUUUAACGUUUGAUGUUCUAACCCAGACCCGUAAUCCGGGUCGGGGACCGUGUCUGGUGGGUAGUUUGACUGGGGCGGUCUCCUCCCAAAGAGUAACGGAGGAGCACGAAGGUUGGCUAAGCAUGGUCGGACAUCAUGCGGUUAGUGCAAAGGCAUAAGCCAGCUUGACUGCGAGAGUGACGGCUCGAGCAGGUACGAAAGUAGGUCUUAGUGAUCCGGUGGUUCUGAAUGGAAGGGCCAUCGCUCAACGGAUAAAAGGUACUCCGGGGAUAACAGGCUGAUACCGCCCAAGAGUUCAUAUCGACGGCGGUGUUUGGCACCUCGAUGUCGGCUCAUCACAUCCUGGGGCUGAAGUAGGUCCCAAGGGUAUGGCUGUUCGCCAUUUAAAGUGGUACGCGAGCUGGGUUUAGAACGUCGUGAGACAGUUCGGUCCCUAUCUGCCGUGGGCGCUGGAAGAUUGAGAGGGGUUGCUCCUAGUACGAGAGGACCGGAGUGAACGCACCACUGGUGUACGGGUUGUGAUGCCAAUUGCAUUGCCCGGUAGCUAAGUGCGGAAGAGAUAACCGCUGAAAGCAUCUAAGCGGGAAACUUGCCUCGAGAUGAGUCUUCCCUGAUUCCUAGAGAAUCCUGAAGGAACGUUUGAGACUAAGACGUUGAUAGGCUGGGUGUGUAAGUGCAGCGAUGUAUUGAGCUAACCAGUACUAAUGAACCGAGAGGCUUAACCUG